RNAcentral lists this ribosomal RNA (270 nucleotides) under uncultured prokaryote. RNAcentral describes it as "partial 16S ribosomal RNA". It matches the Rfam family "Archaeal small subunit ribosomal RNA", at positions 474 to 743 of the family's 1478-position model. The record is from RNAcentral.
UACGGGCAGCCCAAGUGGUAUCCACGAAUACUGGGCUUAAAGCGUUCGUAGCCGGUCCGGUAAGUCUCCAGUGAAAGCCCACGGCUCAACCGUGGGAAGUGCUGGAGAUACUGCCGGACUUGGAGGCGGGAGAGGUCAGAGGUAUUCCAGGGGUAGCGGUUAAAUGUUAUAAUCCUUGGAGGACCAUCGGUAGCGAAGGCGUCUGACUAGAACGCGCUCGACGGUGAGGAACGAAGGCUAGGGGAGCGACCCGGAUUAGAUACCCCCGUA